GACGAACCGUGCGAACGUUAUUCGGAAUCACUGGGCUUAAAGCGCGUGUAGGCGGCCUGGCACGUCGGGCACUGAAAGCCCCCGGCUCAACCGGGGAACGGGUCCCGAUACGACCGGGCUGGAGGGGGGUAGGGGGCGCUGGAACUUCCGGUGGAGCGGUGAAAUGCGUUGAGAUCGGAAGGAACGCCCGUGGCGAAAGCGAGCGCCUGGGCCCCGCCUGACGCUGAGACGCGAAAGCCAGGGGAGCGAACGGG
Molecule: ribosomal RNA, 254 nt
Filed under: uncultured Singulisphaera sp.
Lineage: Bacteria; Pseudomonadati; Planctomycetota; Planctomycetia; Isosphaerales; Isosphaeraceae
Description: partial 16S ribosomal RNA
Rfam family: Bacterial small subunit ribosomal RNA
Source: RNAcentral